Molecule: long non-coding RNA, 247 nt
Filed under: Elaeis guineensis (African oil palm)
Lineage: Eukaryota; Viridiplantae; Streptophyta; Magnoliopsida; Arecales; Arecaceae
Description: long non-coding RNA (EGUI_LNC013949)
Source: RNAcentral
UCCCCCUUUUCAUCCUCUUCUAGUUAGAGUUUCUAUUCCCAUUUUCCUCCAUAUAUUUCCAUCACUAUCUUCUCCAAAACCCCCACCAUUUGUAUCUCCUUUUCUAGGUGUUCAGGGAGGAGAAAAGUAUGUGGGUUUAGCAUGAUUGAAAGAGUUUCAUUGCUUCGACUGGCUAUUGUAUAAGAGAGAUUUGCCUUCUGUGGUAUAUAUUCCAUGAAAAUGACUUGCUUCUCAAGGGUCAUGGGGG